GGGUCGUGGCUCAGUGGUAGAGCACUUGCCUAGUACAUGUGAGGUACAGGGUUUGAUCCUCAGGACCCA
This 69-nucleotide transfer RNA is filed under the name Marmota monax (woodchuck). Its description in RNAcentral is "tRNA.Thr". The record is from RNAcentral. Lineage: Eukaryota; Metazoa; Chordata; Mammalia; Rodentia; Sciuridae.